This 427-nucleotide ribosomal RNA is filed under the name Alkalibacterium psychrotolerans. RNAcentral describes it as "bacterial SSU rRNA". It matches the Rfam family "Bacterial small subunit ribosomal RNA", at positions 87 to 499 of the family's 1533-position model. Lineage: Bacteria; Bacillati; Bacillota; Bacilli; Lactobacillales; Carnobacteriaceae. The record is from RNAcentral.
GUGGAUGAGUGGCGAACGGGUGAGUAACACGUGGGUAACCUGCCCAUAAGAGGGGGAUAACAUCCGGAAACGGGUGCUAAUACCGCAUAGGUGAACGGAGCGCAUGCUCUGUUCAUUAAAGAUGGCCUUGUGCUAUCGCUUAUGGAUGGACCCGCGGCGUAUUAGCUAGUUGGUGAGGUAAUGGCUCACCAAGGCGAUGAUACGUAGCCGACCUGAGAGGGUGAUCGGCCACACUGGGACUGAGACACGGCCCAGACUCCUACGGGAGGCAGCAGUAGGGAAUCUUCCACAAUGGGCGAAAGCCUGAUGGAGCAAUACCGCGUGAGUGAAGAAGGUCUUCGGAUCGUAAAGCUCUGUUGUUAGAGAAGAACACGCAGAACAGUAACUGGUUCUGCGCUGACGGUAUCUAACCAGAAAGUCACGGCUA